Molecule: ribosomal RNA, 440 nt
Filed under: uncultured bacterium
Lineage: Bacteria
Description: partial 16S ribosomal RNA
Rfam family: Bacterial small subunit ribosomal RNA
Source: RNAcentral
CCUACGGGAGGCAGCAGUGGGGAAUAUUGCUCAAUGGGGGAAACCCUGAUGCAGCGACGCCGCGUGAGCGAAGACGUAUCUCGGUAUGUAAAGCUCUAUCAGUAGGGAAGAAAAUGACGGUACCUGAGUAAGAAGCUCCGGCUAAAAACGGGCCAGCAGCCGCGGUAAUACGUAUGGAGCAAGCGUUAUCCGGAUUUACUGGGCGUUAAGGGAGCGUAGGCGGCCUGCCAAGUCUGAUGUGAAAUACCGGGGCUCAACCCCGGGGUUGCAGUGGAGACUGGCAGGCUGGAGUGCCGGAGAGGCAGGCGGAAUUCCUAGUGUAGCGGUGAAAUGCGUAGAUAUUAGGAGGAACACCGGUGGCGAAGGCGGCCUGCUGGACGGUAACUGACGCUGAGGCUCGAAAGCGUGGGGAGCAGACAGGAUUAGAUACCCUUGUAGUC